GACGAACGCUGGCGGCGUGCUUAACACAUGCAAGUCGAACGGAAAGGCCCUGCUUUUGUGGGGUGCUCGAGUGCCGAACGGGUGAGUAACACGUGAGUAACCUGCCCUUCACUUUGGGAUAACUUCAGGAAACUGGGGCUAAUACCGGAUAGCAGCUCCUGCUGCAUUGUGGGGGUUGGAAAGUUUCGGCGGUUGGGGAUGGACUCGCGGCUUAUCAGCUUGUUGGUGGGGUAGUGGCUUACCAAGGCUUUGACGGGUAGCCGGCCUGAGAGGGUGACCGGCCACAUUGGGACUGAGAGACGGCCCAGACUCCUACGGGAGGCAGCAGGGGGGAAUAUUGCACAAUGGGCGGAAGCCUGAUGCAGCAACGCCGCGUGCGGGAAGACGGCCUUCGGGUUGUAAACCGCUUUCGCCUGUGACGAAGCGUGAGUGACGGUAAUGGGUAAAGAAGCACCGGCUAACUACGUG
RNAcentral lists this ribosomal RNA (468 nucleotides) under uncultured bacterium. RNAcentral's name for it is "partial 16S ribosomal RNA". It matches the Rfam family "Bacterial small subunit ribosomal RNA", at positions 28 to 507 of the family's 1533-position model. The record is from RNAcentral.